This 266-nucleotide ribosomal RNA is filed under the name uncultured bacterium. RNAcentral's name for it is "partial small subunit ribosomal RNA". It matches the Rfam family "Bacterial small subunit ribosomal RNA", at positions 26 to 285 of the family's 1533-position model. The record is from RNAcentral.
AGGACGAACGCUGGCGGCGCGCUUAACACAUGCAAGUCGAGCGAGAACCAGGGCUUCGGCCCUGGGGAAAGCGGCGAACGGGUGAGUAACACGUGAGUAACCUGUCCUCGGCACCGGGAUAGCCCGGGGAAACCCGGAUUAAUACCGGAUGGCCUUUCGAGCUCUCGGGCUCGUUAGAAAAGGUAGCUUCGGCCUCCGGCCGAGGAGGGACUCGCGGCGGAUUAGCUUGUUGGUGAGGUAACGGCUCACCAAGGCGACGAUCCGUA